AUUGAACGCUGGCGGCAGGCCUAACACAUGCAAGUCGAGCGAGCGGCGGACGGGUGAGUAAUAUAUGGGGACCUGCCCGAUAGAGGGGGAUAACUACUGGAAACGGUGGCUAAUACCGCAUACUAUACGAUGAACCCUUAUGGGGUUGUCUAGUAGGUGGGGUAAAGGCUCACCUAGGCAACGAUCUCGAGCUGGUCUGAGAGGAUGACAGGCCACACUGGAACUGAGAAACGGCCCAGACUCCUACGGGAGGCAGAAGUGGGGAAUAUUGCGCAAUGGGCGCAAGCCUGAUGGAGCCAUGCCGCGUGUAUGAAGAAGGCCUUAGGGUUGUAAAGUACUGUCAGCGGGGAGGCGGUACCCGAAGAAGAAGCACCGGCUAACUCCGUGCCAGCAGCCGCGGUAAUAC
RNAcentral lists this ribosomal RNA (406 nucleotides) under uncultured bacterium. RNAcentral's name for it is "partial 16S ribosomal RNA". It matches the Rfam family "Bacterial small subunit ribosomal RNA", at positions 29 to 526 of the family's 1533-position model. The record is from RNAcentral.